AAGCAAUGCAGAGGUGGUUUUGUCAUUAACUGAAGUUGAAUUAGCACCCAAUUCAAAACUGUAACUGGUUAUUAAUAUGCAACUUUAGGAUUUGAGAUGAAAAACAUGGAUUUAUCUGGUGUUUCUAAGAGCUUAAAUAAGACUACUGUUAUCUUCCAAUUUACAUAAGAUCCUUUACACUUCUGACAAUCAGAUUCAAUAUACAAAUUAAUAUAUAGAAAUCCCAUAUUUUUGGUUUUGGGAUAGCAAAGGAAUGAGUCUAGCUUUCGCAUAACCAUCAACACCCAUGCUCGUGAAUGAAAACGAUCCAAGAUCUCAUACCAGCUUAUUUCAGACUAUAAGAAUUUAAGUGUGAUAAAUCAUGCUAGGUUUUAUACUAUUGUCACCUCCCUACAGGAUAAGGAGCAAGCAAUCUUGUUGCG
This 422-nucleotide unclassified non-coding RNA is filed under the name Hevea brasiliensis (rubber tree). Lineage: Eukaryota; Viridiplantae; Streptophyta; Magnoliopsida; Malpighiales; Euphorbiaceae. The record is from RNAcentral.